Molecule: ribosomal RNA, 1088 nt
Filed under: Salmonella enterica
Lineage: Bacteria; Pseudomonadati; Pseudomonadota; Gammaproteobacteria; Enterobacterales; Enterobacteriaceae
Description: partial 23S ribosomal RNA
Rfam family: Bacterial large subunit ribosomal RNA
Source: RNAcentral
AGACCCGAAACCCGGUGAUCUAGCCAUGGGCAGGUUGAAGGUUGGGUAACACUAACUGGAGGACCGAACCGACUAAUGUUGAAAAAUUAGCGGAUGACCUGUGGCUGGGGGUGAAAGGCCAAUCAAACCGGGAGAUAGCUGGUUCUCCCCGAAAGCUAUUUAGGUAGCGCCUCGUGAAUUCAUCUCCGGGGGUAGAGCACUGUUUCGGCUAGGGGGCCAUCCCGGCUUACCAACCCGAUGCAAACUGCGAAUACCGGAGAAUGUUAUCACGGGAGACACACGGCGGGUGCUAACGUCCGUCGUGAAGAGGGAAACAACCCAGACCGCCAGCUAAGGUCCCAAAGUCAUGGUUAAGUGGGAAACGAUGUGGGAAGGCCCAGACAGCCAGGAUGUUGGCUUAGAAGCAGCCAUCAUUUAAAGAAAGCGUAAUAGCUCACUGGUCGAGUCGGCCUGCGCGGAAGAUGUAACGGGGCUAAACCAUGCACCGAAGCUGCGGCAGCGACACUCAGGUGUUGUUGGGUAGGGGAGCGUUCUGUAAGCCUGCGAAGGUGGCCUGUGAGGGUUGCUGGAGGUAUCAGAAGUGCGAAUGCUGACAUAAGUAACGAUAAAGCGGGUGAAAAGCCCGCUCGCCGGAAGACCAAGGGUUCCUGUCCAACGUUAAUCGGGGCAGGGUGAGUCGACCCCUAAGGCGAGGCCGAAAGGCGUAGUCGAUGGGAAACGGGUUAAUAUUCCCGUACUUGGUGUUACUGCGAAGGGGGGACGGAGAAGGCUAUGUUGGCCGGGCGACGGUUGUCCCGGUUUAAGCGUGUAGGUGUGUGUUCCAGGUAAAUCCGGUUCACUUUAACACUGAGGCGUGAUGACGAGGCACUACGGUGCUGAAGCAACAAAUGCCCUGCUUCCAGGAAAAGCCUCUAAGCAUCAGGUAACAUCAAAUCGUACCCCAAACCGACACAGGUGGUCAGGUAGAGAAUACCAAGGCGCUUGAGAGAACUCGGGUGAAGGAACUAGGCAAAAUGGUGCCGUAACUUCGGGAGAAGGCACGCUGACAUGUAGGUGAAGUGAUUUACUCAUGGAGCUGAAGUCAGUCG